GAGAGGAAUGCGGGGUGCCUAUAAUGCAGUCGAGCGGACUUUCUGGAGCCUUGCUUCUUUAGUUUCGCGGCGGACGGGAGAAUAACAUGUGGGAAACCUGCCCCUUACAGUGGGAUAUCUCGGGGAAACGGGAUCUAAUACCGGAUUCUCCUUUUCUCCCCGUGGAGAGGGGGUGAAAUGUGGUUUCGGCUAUCUCUAGGGGAUGGGCCCGCGGCGCUUUAUCUUUUUGGUAGGGUAACGGCUUACCAGGGCCACUAUGCGUACCCCACCUGAGAGGGUGAUCGCCCACACUGGCACUGACACGGGGCCCACACUCCUAGGGGGGGCAGCUGUGGGGAAUCUUCCGCAGUGGAAAAAUGUCAGACAGAACCGCCCCGCGAGUGUGAAGAGGGCCUUCGGGUCAUAGAGCUCUUUUGUGAGGGAAGAAGCGGUACCUUUCAAAUAGGGGGGUACUUUGACGGUCCCUCACCAAAAAGCCACGGCUAAAUACGUGCCAGCCGCCGCGGUAAUACAUAUGUCGCACGUUUUGUCCGGAAUUAUUGGGUGUAAAGCGCGCACACGCCGUCUCUUAUGUCAGAUGUGAAAUCUCGGGGCUCACCCCCGAGCGGCUUUUGGACACUGGGGAUCUAGUGUGCAGAAGAAGAGAGUGGAUCUCCACGUGUAGCGGUAAUGUGCAUAGAUAUGUAGAAGAACACCUGUCGCAAACGACACUCUCUUGUCUGUAACUGACUCUGACGCGCAAACGCGUGGGGAGCACACGAGAUUAUAUACUGGGGUUCUCCACGCCAUACACUAUGAGCGCUAUGUGUAGGUGUCUCUACGCCCAUAGUGCCAAUUUCACACAUUACACACUCCCCCGGGAGUAGUACGGCCACAGCGCUGACACUCAGAAAAUUUUUAACGGAAAAA
This 909-nucleotide ribosomal RNA is filed under the name Bacillus sp. APP-4. Its description in RNAcentral is "bacterial SSU rRNA". It matches the Rfam family "Bacterial small subunit ribosomal RNA", at positions 28 to 921 of the family's 1533-position model. Lineage: Bacteria; Bacillati; Bacillota; Bacilli; Caryophanales; Bacillaceae. The record is from RNAcentral.